GGGGGCGACAGGUUUCGACGGGAUCAGGAGGUACAAGGUGGCAUGCCGAGGUCUCAAGGGCUCGUAAAACACUUGAGAAAAACUAUAACUGCCAAUACAGAAUUGGCACUCGCUGCCUAAUUAGGCGGUGACGUCCGAUGAGGGGUUGCCUGCGCCACUCAAAGGAUGUCAGAUCAGCAGGCUGGCCCUGUCUUACGCCUGGGAAGGCGGGGCGAGACCUUUCCGGGCUAGUGGCGAUCUAAAGCUGGUCUCUGGGCAUGGGUCGCUGCGAAGCACAAACGGAGACUAAGCAUGUAGUCUCCUUGUACUGAGGAUCUUCGGACGCGGGUUCGAUUCCCGCCGCCUCCAUUU
RNAcentral lists this transfer-messenger RNA (351 nucleotides) under Nitrospirota bacterium. Its description in RNAcentral is "Nitrospirae bacterium (sediment metagenome) transfer-messenger RNA". It matches the Rfam family "transfer-messenger RNA". Rfam says of the family: Bacterial tmRNA, also known as 10Sa RNA or SsrA, is named for its dual tRNA and mRNA-like properties. Its role is to liberate the mRNA from a stalled ribosome. Lineage: Bacteria; Pseudomonadati; Nitrospirota. The record is from RNAcentral.